RNAcentral lists this ribosomal RNA (462 nucleotides) under uncultured bacterium. RNAcentral's name for it is "partial 16S ribosomal RNA". It matches the Rfam family "Bacterial small subunit ribosomal RNA", at positions 339 to 795 of the family's 1533-position model. The record is from RNAcentral.
CUACGGCGCAGCAGUGGGGAAUAUUGCACAAUGGGCGCAAGCCUGAUGCAGCCAUGCCGCGUGUAUGAAGAAGGCCUCCGGUUUUUAAAGUACUUUCAGCGGGGAGGAAGGGAGUAAAGUUAAUACCUUUGCUCAUUGACGUUACCCGCAGAAGAAGCACCGGCUAACUCCGUGCCAGCAGCCGCGGUAAGACGGAGGGUGAAAGCGUUAAUCGGAAUUACUGGGCGUAAAGCGCACGCAGGCGGUUUGUUAAGUCAGAUGUGAAAUCCCCGGGCUCAACCUGGGAACUGCAUCUGAUACUGGCAAGCUUGAGUCUCGUAGAGGGGGGUAGAAUUCCAGGUGUAGCGGUGAAAUGCGUAGAGAUCUGGAGGAAUACCGGUGGCGAAGGCGGCCCCCUGGACGAAGACUGACGCUCAGGUGCGAAAGCGUGGGGAGCAAACAGGAUUAGAUACCCGCGUAGUC